This 430-nucleotide ribosomal RNA is filed under the name uncultured bacterium. Its description in RNAcentral is "bacterial SSU rRNA". It matches the Rfam family "Bacterial small subunit ribosomal RNA", at positions 56 to 507 of the family's 1533-position model. The record is from RNAcentral.
UGCAAGUUGAACGGUUGUAGCAAUACAACGAGUAGCGGACGGGUGAGUAAUGUAUGGGAACAUGUCCUUUAGUGGGGAAUAGCUUUUGGAAACGAAUGGUAAUACCGCAUAACGUCAUGGGACCGCAUGAUCCUAUGAACCAAAGGAGCAAUCCGCUGAGAGAUGGACUCGCGUCCGAUUAGCUAGUUGGAGAGGUAACGGCUCCCCAAGGCGACGAUCGGUAGCCGGACUGAGAGGUUGACCGGCCACAUUGGGACUGAGAUACGGCCCAGACUCCUACGGGAGGCAGCAGGUGGGGAAUAUUGGGCAAUGGACGCAAGUCUGACCCAGCAACGCCGCGUGAAGGAAGAAGGCUUUCGGGUUGUAAACUUUCUUUAAGGGGGAAGAGUAGAAGACGGUACCCCUUGAAUAAGCCACGGCUAACUACGUG